This 253-nucleotide ribosomal RNA is filed under the name uncultured bacterium. Its description in RNAcentral is "partial 16S ribosomal RNA". It matches the Rfam family "Bacterial small subunit ribosomal RNA", at positions 524 to 776 of the family's 1533-position model. The record is from RNAcentral.
UACAGAGGGUGCAAGUGUUGUUCGGAAUCACUGGGCGUAAAGCGCACGUAGGCGGAUUGCUAAGUCAGGGGUGAAAUCCUGGAGCUCAACUCCAGAACUGCCUUUGAUACUGGUGAUCUUGAGUCCGGGAGAGGUGAGUGGAACUGCGAGUGUAGAGGUGAAAUUCGUAGAUAUUCGCAAGAACACCAGUGGCGAAGGCGGCUCACUGGCCCGGUACUGACGCUGAGGUGCGAAAGCGUGGGGAGCAAACAGG